UAACUCAGUUGGUUACAGCAUGGUGCUGAUAACACCAAGGCCGCAGGUUCGAUUUCUGC
This 59-nucleotide transfer RNA is filed under the name Apaloderma vittatum (bar-tailed trogon). It matches the Rfam family "tRNA", at positions 8 to 63 of the family's 71-position model. From Rfam's summary of the family: Transfer RNA (tRNA) molecules are approximately 80 nucleotides in length. The record is from Rfam by way of RNAcentral. Lineage: Eukaryota; Metazoa; Chordata; Aves; Trogoniformes; Trogonidae.